CGGGCAAUGAAUACAGGGGAGGUAAGAUUUUGAUCAUGAGAGCCAGAACUAGUGAUUCCUUUUUUGGAACCGGUUACCGAUUCUGGGUUUCAUGAGUUUCACAUCAAAAGUUUGAUGGAACUCCUUCAUUCUUGGAGCUUCUAGGUCUGGAGACGGCAAUUGCGACGUUUGCGGGGGCGCCACCGCCGAGUUGCCGGAUACGGUGGGGGAAAAGUCAAUCAGCAUCUCGUCGAAGCUGACGAUUAGAGAGGAGUACGUUGAUCCGCCAUUGGAGGCCAUCUUAUGGUAAUCGGGAGAAAGAGUUGCAAGGGGGUAGAAGAAGAACUUAAACAUGAAUGGGUGGGUAUUGCUCAUUUUUAUUUUAUAGGAGGAAAAUGACUUGGAGUUUAUUUUAUCUGCUAUUUUUUGUAAAUUGGAUUUUAUCCUUCGUCUCCCAGAUUUGGGUUUGUAUGAAAGAAGAAGUAUGAAGCGUUGUCUGUGUAGGAAGAAGAGAAAAUAUAUGAUUACUAUUCCUUGUCUCUAUUUGCUUGAUCGCCGAUUGAAUUCGAUUCUGUGAAUUUUCG
RNAcentral lists this long non-coding RNA (563 nucleotides) under Linum usitatissimum (flax). RNAcentral's name for it is "long non-coding RNA (LUSI_LNC002536)". The record is from RNAcentral. Lineage: Eukaryota; Viridiplantae; Streptophyta; Magnoliopsida; Malpighiales; Linaceae.